GCGUAUACAAUCUACCUCAUACUAGGGGAUAGCCCAGAGAAAUUUGGAUUAAUACCCUAUAGUAUCAUAAAGAGUCAUCUCUUAUUGAUUAAAGGUUACGGUAUGAGAUGAGUAUGCGUUCUAUUAGUUAGUAGGUGAGGUAACGGCUCACCUAGACCACGAUAGAUAGGGGCCCUGAGAGGGGGAUCCCCCACACUGGUACGUGAGACACGGACCGACGACUCCUACGGGAGGGCAGCAGUGAGGAAGUAAUUGGACGAAUAGGGCGGAAAGACCUCGAUCCACGCCACUGCCGCCGUG
RNAcentral lists this ribosomal RNA (300 nucleotides) under uncultured bacterium. RNAcentral's name for it is "bacterial SSU rRNA". It matches the Rfam family "Bacterial small subunit ribosomal RNA", at positions 115 to 400 of the family's 1533-position model. The record is from RNAcentral.